Nematostella vectensis (starlet sea anemone) is the source of this 6756-nucleotide long non-coding RNA. RefSeq lists it as uncharacterized. Lineage: Eukaryota; Metazoa; Cnidaria; Anthozoa; Actiniaria; Edwardsiidae. The transcript has 2 exons. The record is from RefSeq and is a predicted model, not a curated record.
UUAAAGAAGAUGAGGUAUUCGUCUUGCUACCAACAAGCGCCAACAAGCUACAAGCACAGUGGCAGGGGCCCUACAAGGUAAGGAGACAGGUCGGCCCGGUGGACUACGAGAUUGACUUGACUAACAAGAGAAAGCGAUUGCGGAUAUAUUCCAUGUCAACAUGUUAACUCGUUGGCACACCCCUAUGGAUGUUAGCUACCUUGCAACAACAGUUAGAAGGGAUGAGAUAGAGGAUGAUGAUGGAGACAUUAUUCAGGCCAUCCAUGAUAAGUCGUCCGAAGCAAACUGGCAGUCCGUUACAAUAAAUGACAAGUUGACAGUCACCCAAGCUCAGCAAAUUGAUAAUCUCCUACAGAAAUUUAUGCAUGUUCUCCGUGACAAACCGGGAAGGACAAAUGUGACUAACACGUGAUAGCAACAGGAAACACAAAGCCGACCAUAUCAUCUCCCCCAGUCUCAAUACAAGAAGAUCAAGCAGGAGAUACAGAAGAUGGAGGACAUGGGCAUUAAGCAGUUCUUCAAUAGUGAAUGGGCAGCACCCUUGGUGAUCGUUCCCAAGAAGGACUGAUCAAUACGAGUAUGGGUAGACUACAGAGAGCUGAACAAGGUAUCUGCAUUUGACAAAUAUCCGAUGAAUAGAGUCGACAGACCUAGAGUUGACGAGUCGACGACAGAUUAGGCAAUACCAAGUACAUCUCGACUCUCGUUUUCGCCCUGGGUUACUGGCAAGUACCACUGAGCUCAGAUUCGAUGCACAAGACCACAUUCACGACCCUGUUCGGGUUAUUCGAGUUCCGUACAAUGCCUAUGCGACUACAAGGAGCCCCCCGAGACCAGCAAACAACAAGCAAGUACAAUCAUUCUUUGGAUUGACCAGUUAUUAUUUAUCGCGGGCUACGCAGACACCGCUGUGCCACUCUCAGAUUUAACCAAGAAGGGAAGCAGAGGUACGAUCAAUUGGACUGAAGACUGUGAACAAGCCUUCAAAAAACUCAAAGAGGCCUUGUGCUCGUCGCCAGUUCUAAGAAGCCCAGACUACAACAAAGAAUUUCUGCUGCAAACUGACGCAUCAGAUCUAGGCCUGGGAGCAGUUCUGAGUCAGAUUGGAGAUGACGGAGAGGAACAUACGAUUAUGUAUAUCAGCCGUAAGCUGCUUGAUAGGGAACGUCGCUAUGCCGUAGUGAAAAAAGAAUGCCUAGCGAUAGUAUAGGCCAUCCAGCAGCUUCGAGUAUACCUGCACGGUUGCAAGUUUUCUAUUCAGACAGAUCAUAAUGCAUUACAAUGGCUGGAUCAGAUGAAAAACAAGAAUGGAAGGCUUACAAGAUGGAGCUUGGCCUCACAGAUGUAUCAUUAAGUAAUAUAAUGGAGGGGUCUGGAUAACUCCAAAUGCGGACUCACUAUCGAGGAUUUGAUGUCAUAUGCUAUGCCGCUUUGUACAAAAAUGUACCAUUUUUGUCUGUGGAAGGAGGGGGAAGUGUGACGGAGUCAAUGUUAUAUUAAUUAGUGGAACUGUCCAGAACAUUGUUUACGUGCAGGCUCUCACGCUUGGAACAUUGUAGAAAUGAAUACGUGGUGUUAGAACAUGCUAGAAUUGGACUUUUUUCUUAGGAUCGUUGUUCUGUUUGCCAGAUUAUUCUAGAACCAUGACUCAGCAGUUUAUGAAAUGGAUGAUGUUAUGUUUCUAUUUAUUAGUAACAACAUUUAUGAUGUAAUUGGGUAUAUUUAGAAACACCCAAGUAGAGUAUAUAAAGGAGCUCACUUGUGAAUUAGCGGGGGGGACUCAACAAUGCCAUUCCAAGGUUGAUCAGAAAAACACCUCGUUAGAAAGUGGAAGGAGUAAUCAAUGAUCUCUUCCGCCAUUACCAGGAGGGUACCUCGAAAGAACGCAUCGAUCAAAAUGUGCCUUAUUGCUAUAUACAGAACCUGUUACGCAAUGUCGCUAUUCUUUCUGUGUUUGUGUAUUAAUAUCUCCUAUCAAGUGGUUACAUCAUUUUCUGCGCAGAAUGAAGACAGGCCAAGUAUUGCCGAGACUGUGAGAAUUGUCCAACAAUGGAAACCUGACUGCAAUCCCAAGUAUUUUAUGUUGGACUUCACGGCCGAAAUGGCAGCAAAUAUGCAAUUAACUUCUCGCUAGAACGGAACCAAAUAGCGUCAUAUUAAGCUUUUAUCGAGGUACAAAGUAAUAUGAGUUACAUUUCUCUUUCAGAGUGUUUUUUACUUUUGUGCGACUUCCACAAGGAAAAGGAGUGGGGGCGAGUGUACUAACAAAAUUAUUAUUCGUAUCACAGAUCAACCGGGCUACACAAUCCAUAGCAGACCAAGUCCUGGUUGCUGAUCCAAUUGCAGUAGGAAAUCUUGUAUAGGAAUUGGCAGCAAAUGCAGUAUCUAAUGCUGGAUCAAAUUCGGAGAACCAGGCAGCUACAGUAAACCUGCAAGAAAACUUUGUAUCUUUGAGUUAAGGCCUCUAGCAGUACUCCCUCAAACGGCAUCACCAAUGCAAACUGAACUCCACCAGAAAGAUGGCGAAAGUCACGAGGUACUCAGUAGACAGUAUUAACAAGAGUAUGGCUACAAUGGUAAAUACCUUGGCUUCUUCAAAAGUCCCCACUCGCAAACUGGCUAGGGCAGCAAUGCUUCAAGAAAAAGCCACAGCCGGAGUCGCCCACUCGGGAAUAAGCAGACCACGCCACACCGAGGAAUAUGAGGAAAUUGGAGAGUUAUUGAGGUCAUACCUCUAACGAGGGAAUAACGUCCAACAACUUGCCUGACCGAGAGAGAGGUAGAGUUUUUUUAUGUCCUAGAGGCCAAUAUAGAAGAUGAGGAACUGGUUUUCGAGACAGUCAACGACCAAAUAGACAAAAUCACAAAAAAAGCUGUGGGGAUCGAGCAUUACUGCCGACAGGCAUUACUGGCAAAACAUGUGAAACUGCACCGUGAAACUACCUCGAAAUCUUAGAGCAGCGUGUGAACCCGAAAAAAAAACAUUCGCCAUUUUACAAUGGUGGCAAACAUAAGCAAACGAGAAAAAUGGGUACCCAAAGGGUACACGAGUCUAGGUGCUAACGGCCACAGUUUCACUGGUGAUUAUUAUAGUAAAAUAAAACUGCUUUAAGGUACUGUUUUGCUAAAGGUGGUGUGCUUUGUAUUGAUGACGACUAUGGCAAGGAAAGCAGUGGAGACCUCAUUGGAGGCACUGGAGUCUUGCCUUCCAGUCAUGAUCUUCGCAGGAUACCUUCUCAAAAAGGUGACCUUUGCUUUGACAUUUUCGCCAAUAGGCAUUGAAAUUUAAUUGUUACAAAUAUAUUGUAUCUAUUUGUUUGGCCGUUGUGUUGUGGGUUUAGGCGGUGUUUCUUAGUGCUCUUUUCUUAGUUCUCAAACUCCGCCAAAAUGGCUACAAGUACUGAUACAAAGGAUUAAUGAUUUGUUGACUUUUUCUAAUAAAUAUGUGAAAUGUCUUUAGAAAGUGAGAUUGUGGUGCGAUAGCUCAGUCGUACAGGCUUCGCUUCUCAAGCAAGAGGACCAGGGUAUGAAUAAUGGUCGAAUAACACAGAAGAAAAAGAAAACUACACACCUGACAAUCAGAUCCUGGAAUGUCAGAACCCUGUUGGACAACCCCCACGCUGACAGACCAGAACACAGGACUGCCCUCAUCGCCCAAGAACUCGCCAGAUACAGCAUAGACAUGGAGGCUUUGAGUGAGACAUGAUUUGCAGACGAGGGUCAGCUCACAGAAACUGGCGCUGUCUACACCUUCUUCUGGAGUGGACGCAGUGAAGAGGAUAGACGUGAUCGAUUCUGUUCAAUCUUAAAUUACAUAAAUGACCUCCCAGAUUGCAUCAGCUUUAUGCAUAUCGCCAUGUUUGCUGACAACACAAAGUGUUUUAGAGCCAUAAACUCUCCAAACUACGUUCCAAAACUGCAGAGAGAUCUCCACUCGCUCUCAGCGUGGGCACUCGAUAACAAGCCCCUGUUCCGACCAACCAAAUGUUAGAACCUCCCCAUUACACGUAAAAGAAGCAACUUCCCAAGGAACUACACUCUUGACAGUGAGAUUCCCAAGAAGGUGCAGUCCGUUCGUAUCCUGGGUGUCCAAAUCCCUAAAGAUCUCUCCUGGUGCGUAACAUAAAAAAAGGCAGUGUGUCGAAAGCAAACAAGAUGCUUUGCAUUCUCUGUAGCCACUUUAUGUCUCUAUUGUACGGUCUCACCUGACUUAGGCGAGUCAAGUCUGGGCACACUGUUAGCUGGGCUCUCUGUAUUUAAAGCGCAUCUUGGAGCGCAUGCAGAGAAGGGCAACAAUUUAUAUGCUUUUACGGGCUGGAGCUCAGCUAUAAACAACAUGUCCUUAAACUCAGUCUUUUACGCUUGUCAUUCUUCCCCUAAUACCCUCUAUCAAGAGAGGAAUUCAUAUCGACAUCUCUAAUAUACUCCAGUUUUUGCAGUCUCCCACUUGUUGCAGAGUGACAGGCCUUGAUCUUUGUCUGAUUAGUUUGCAUACUUCCACCAUCCGUGAAUCUUACUUUGUAAGCAUCUGCCCAACCUGGAAUGCUCUCCCUCUCGAAAUAAGACCCUCUAAGAGAACUUCUCUCUUCAAGCAGAGACUGAAAGAUAAGUUUUCUUGCGCAUCAACUUCAACAACUCUUUUACGCAGACAAUAUCCGCACCUGGAGCAUUAUCUGCCCCAUAUGCAGCAUGUUUAUGCUAGCUUUUUACCAUUUAUCAAUUGUUUCUAUUUUUAUGUAUUUGUUUUGUAUGUACUGUCUGCUGAUCGCCGGAGACUAAAGCUUGUUAGGGACCCCUUUCCUAUUCUUUUAUCUCCGUUUCGGCCAUCAUCCCCAUAAAUGUCAUACAUAAAAUAAAAUAUAAUGAAUCACGGUUACCAUUUGUGUCACCAGUUGUGACAACUUUUACAUGUCAGUGACUUUUUUAAAGGAUCUUUUACUUGUUAAGACACCAGGGAGAGAAAAGUGAAUGAAAGGAACGGUUACUGGUAUUGAGGGUACCAUGAAUAAUGUAGUGCAUGUAGAUGGAAUGCAAUGGAGAAAGUAUAAGACACAUUUGAACUGUCCAGAUAGUACUUAUAUUUUUCAUGUUCAUUACUUGUGUUACAGAGGAGGAUGUUAAAUAUUGGAAUCCUUGUGUUGAGUAUGCGCACAGACACAUGACAGCGAAGUAGAAGCACAUGGUUUGACAAGUUGUUAUCUCUAUUCGUGCUUCAAUUAUGUACCCUUUUUCAUGUGCCAAUGACUUUGCCAUGUUUGACCAAAAAUGAAGUGCAGAGAACAGUCGGCGUCUACACUGUGAAGCAGCCAAUGGCCAUCAACAAUAAUGUCCCUGGGUGGACAGAUCUCACCAGUUGAUGACAAAGAACAAUGAUCUGUCAAUGUGCAGGAGAUGGUGGAAAGUGCUCUUCUUCCACAUGAUUGAUAUGAUAUAGCUGUUGUAAAUAGCUACAUUCUUUUCAAGCUUCACCGUGCCUAGAACCAACACAACACAGCACUUCAUUGCCCAAAGAAGUACUCAGUUGCUGCGUUAAGAGAAGAACUUGUAAAACAAAUGACAGGUUUAGAGAAGUUUGCCUCCCCCCCCCCCCCCUCCUACCUACAAGCCACCAACUAGGGCACCUAACCAGUUUGGGAUUGUGUACAUGCCAAUGAUGUCAGAUGUGAAGCAAAACUGUCAGGUUUGUUAUGCAAACACAGAAAGAAACUGAAGGUCAGGACCUUUUGACAAGCACCACAAUGUCAGGCAUACCUGCACCUCACCAGCACCCAGGACUGUUUCAAAGUAUGGCACAGUUAGUAUUUCCAUGAGUAAGAGUGUAUUGAGAUGUGUAGUUUGCUAGGACAAUGCCAUGUACAGAUCAUAUUUUAUUACCGUUGUCUUGUUUUUCAUAAUUUAUUUAGUGAAUAUUAGCAAUUAUAAGCAAGAGAUGCUAGGCAGAAUAACAAAAAGCUGCCUAUUAGUGUGUACAAGACACUAUUAAACCAUGAUAUAUUCUUCUUAUUUGAAAUAUUGUUGUUGGUUUUAGAAAAAAAAACAUUUUUAUUACAGUCCCCAAAAUAGAUAGUCCCCUAAAUUACAAUCCCCUAAAAAUUUAUAUAGUUUACAUAUGGUAAACCUUUGUACUGUAACUUUUACUUCUUGUGUAUUGGGCUUAAUUUUUUUUUAAUAUUUUAAAUAUUACAUAAGGUAACAUCAUAAUUAGAUUAUUAAUGUUACGAAGGACUUAAAGUAAAAGGACCUUAGAAUAUAGGAUUUAUAAGUGCAAUUUUGUGAAUAGGAAAUUCUAGUAAGUUCUAGUAUUGUAAAAAGUAGGACCUAGAUUGUUAGUUCUAGCAUAGUAGUAGAAGUCUUUGUAAAUAAGGCAUAUUUUUGUAGAUAUUUCUUGAAAGCACGCAGUCACGCCAUAUUGUUUUGACUAUUUCUAGGGUGUUCUAGAAAGUAGCGAGACAAAUACAAAUGAAAAGACAUUUAGUAGUUACUGGAACUUGCUCGAGUGAGCAAUAGCAAAAUCACAUAAAUUCGGGAAAGUUCUUAGUAAUUGGUUAAUUAGCUAUAUUUAGUAAACAGAAGAGUAUAAAAAGAGAAGCAAUAGUAUCGUAGGCAGUUGAAUUAAGUCGAAUAAAAAGUCAAAUACAUAGUCGAAAAGACAGUUGAAUAUAGUUAAACAGUCAAAUCGAAAAAUAACACAGAAGUAGAAUUGAAAAGUUAACAAGUUAUCGUCAAGAAGUGAACAUCGAAAGAGUUAUCCUCGUA